RNAcentral lists this ribosomal RNA (253 nucleotides) under uncultured bacterium. RNAcentral describes it as "partial 16S ribosomal RNA". It matches the Rfam family "Bacterial small subunit ribosomal RNA", at positions 524 to 776 of the family's 1533-position model. The record is from RNAcentral.
UACGUAGGGUGCGAGCGUUGUCCGGAAUUAUUGGGCGUAAAGGGCUCGUAGGCGGUUUGUCGCGUCGGGAGUGAAAACUCAGGGCUUAACCCUGAGCCUGCUUCCGAUACGGGCAGACUAGAGGUAUGCAGGGGAGAACGGAAUUCCUGGUGUAGCGGUGAAAUGCGCAGAUAUCAGGAGGAACACCGGUGGCGAAGGCGGUUCUCUGGGCAUUACCUGACGCUGAGGAGCGAAAGUGUGGGGAUCAAACAGG